Molecule: long non-coding RNA, 218 nt
Filed under: Elaeis guineensis (African oil palm)
Lineage: Eukaryota; Viridiplantae; Streptophyta; Magnoliopsida; Arecales; Arecaceae
Description: long non-coding RNA (EGUI_LNC015768)
Source: RNAcentral
UAUAUCACAACUUGUACAGAAUUGAUAUACCUUUACAGUUUUCUAGAAUAAAAAAUUUUCUCUUCAAUCAGCGCCAGCACAAAAUUGUGGUUUGGCCAUCGCCCGAUCUAUUGAAUUUUCCAUUCUUUUAUGUUUUUGGUGCGAAGGGCAAGAAACAUUCGGGAAUUCUUAUAAUGGGAGAAAGCUAAUGGUAUUUUGGUCAUCAUAGGUAUGGCCGC